RNAcentral lists this ribosomal RNA (484 nucleotides) under uncultured bacterium. RNAcentral's name for it is "partial 16S ribosomal RNA". It matches the Rfam family "Bacterial small subunit ribosomal RNA", at positions 30 to 507 of the family's 1533-position model. The record is from RNAcentral.
AUUGAACGCUGGCGGCAGGCCUAACACAUGCAAGUCGAGCGGUUGAAGGGUGCUUUCUCCUGGAUUCAGCGGCGGACGGGUGUGUAAUUCCUAUGAAUCUGCCUUGUUGUUUUGGAUAACGUCCUGUCACGGGCGCUAAUACCGCAUACGUCCUUAGGGUGAAAGUUGGGGUUCUUCGGACCUCACGCUUUCUGAUGAUCCUAGGUCGGAUUAGCUAGUUGGUUGGGUAAAGUCCUACCAAGGCGACGAUCCGUAACUGGUCUGAGAGGAUGAUCAGUCAAACUGGAACUGAGACACGGACCAGACUACUACGGGAGGCAGCAGUGGGGAAUAUUGGACAAUGGGCGAAAGCAUGGUACAGCAAUGCCGCGUGUGUGAAGAAGGUCUUAGGAUUGUAAAGCACUUUAAGUGGGGAGGAAGGGAAGUAAGUUAAUACCUUGAUGUAGUGACGUUAACAAAAGAAUAAGCACCGGCUAACUACGUG